GAUGAACGCUAGCGGCAGGCCUAACACAUGCAAGUCGAGGGGUAGAGUGCUUCGGCACUUGAGACCGGCGUACGGGUGCGUAACGCGUGUACAAUCUACCUUUUGCUAAGGGAUAGCCCGAAGAAAUUUGGAUUAAUACCUUAUAGUAUUAUUUGGUGGCAUCAUUAGAUAAUUAAAGCUACGGUGGCAAAAGAUGAGUACGCGUCCCAUUAGCUAGUUGGAGUGGUAACGGCACACCAAGGCUACGAUGGGUAGGGGUUCUGAGAGGGAUGUCCCCCACACUGGUACUGAGACACGGACCAGACUCCUACGGGAGGCAGCAGUGAGGAAUAUUGGACAAUGGUCGGAAGACUGAUCCAGCCAUGCCGCGUGCAGGAUGACGGCCUUAUGGGUUGUAAACUGCUUUUGUAUGGGAAGAAUAAGGUCUACGUGUAGAUUGAUGACGGUACCAUACGAAUAAGCAUCGGCUAACUCCGUGCCAGCAGCCGCGGUAAUACGGAGGAUGCGAGCGUUAUCCGGAAUCAUUGGGUUUAAAGGGUCCGUAGGCGGGCUUAUAAGUCAGAGGUGAAAGCACUGAGCUCAACUGAGUAACUGCCUUUGAAACUGUAGGUCUUGAAUGUUUGUGAAGUAGCUGGAAUGUGUAGUGUAGCGGUGAAAUGCAUAGAUAUUACACAGAACACCGAUUGCGAAGGCAUGUUACUAACAAAUUAUUGACGCUGAUGGACGAAAGCGUGGGGAGCGAACAGGAUUAGAUACCCUGGUAGUCCACGCUGUAAACGAUGGAUACUAGCUGUUUGGUAGUAAUAUUGAGUGGCUAAGCGAAAGUGAUAAGUAUCCCACCUGGGGAGUACGCACGCAAGUGUGAAACUCAAAGGAAUUGACGGGGGCCCGCACAAGCGGUGGAGCAUGUGGUUUAAUUCGAUGAUACGCGAGGAACCUUACCAAGGUUUAAAUGGGAAACGACGUAUCUAGAGAUAGAUAUUUCUUCGGACGUUUUUCAAGGUGCUGCAUGGUUGUCGUCAGCUCGUGCCGUGAGGUGUCAGGUUAAGUCCUAUAACGAGCGCAACCCCUGCUGUUAGUUGCUAGCGAGUCAAGUCGAGCACUCUAACGGGACUGCCGGUGCAAACCGUGAGGAAGGUGGGGAUGACGUCAAAUCAUCACGGCCCUUACA
Molecule: ribosomal RNA, 1171 nt
Filed under: Capnocytophaga cynodegmi
Lineage: Bacteria; Pseudomonadati; Bacteroidota; Flavobacteriia; Flavobacteriales; Flavobacteriaceae
Description: bacterial SSU rRNA
Rfam family: Bacterial small subunit ribosomal RNA
Source: RNAcentral